UCAUCACUACGCUAGAUGCAUAUCAAUAAGCGGAGGAAAAGAAACCAACAAGGAUUCCCUUAGUAACGGCGAGUGAAGCGGGAAGAGCUCAAAUUUGAAAUCUUCAAGGUUUUACCUUGACGAAUCGUAGUUUAAAGAAGUGUUUUCUGUUGGAGUUUUGGUAAAAGUUCUUUGGAAUAGGACAUCAUAGAGGGUGAGAAUCCCGUAUUUGACCAUUAUUUCCAACUUUGUGAUACACUUUCAAAGAGUCGGAUUGUUUGGGAAUGCAGUCCAAAAUGGGUGGUAAAUUUCAUCUAAAGCUAAAUAUUGGCGAGAGACCGAUAGCGAACAAGUACCGUGAGGGAAAGAUGAAAAGAACUUUGAAAAGAGAGUUAAACAGUACGUGAAAUUGUCAAAAGGGAAGCGUUUGACACCAGUGUUGUUUUCUCGAAAAUCAAUUAAAAAUGAUGGGAUUUUGUGUUGUAUUGACUUUAUCAGCUUUCUGCACUUUUUUCCUUAUCUUUUUUAAUGCACUUUUCGUUUAACAAGUCAACAUCAAUUUCUUUUGCUGUAAAAGAGUCAUUGGAAGGUGGCUUUCUUUUCGGAGAAAGUGUUUAUAGCCUUUGACUUCUGCAGUCGGAGAGAUUGAGGUCUGCAGCGUAGAUCCUUCGGGGUUAGAUACAUUUGUGCUAAGCUAUAGCCUUUCAUAGACAACUUGUUGACUAUGAUCAGUCAUGUAGCUUACUCGCUUAUGCUAUUUUACCUACGCUUAGGAUGUUGAUAUGCAUGACUGAUAU
This 776-nucleotide ribosomal RNA is filed under the name uncultured Neocallimastigales. Its description in RNAcentral is "partial large subunit ribosomal RNA". It matches the Rfam family "Eukaryotic large subunit ribosomal RNA", at positions 20 to 634 of the family's 3401-position model. Lineage: Eukaryota; Fungi; Neocallimastigomycota; Neocallimastigomycetes; Neocallimastigales. The record is from RNAcentral.